AUAGGUUAUUCGAAUAAUGGUAAAAACCGAUUAAAAAUUAACCUUUUUCAACACGGGGAUUGAAAAUCCCCGUGUCCUUGGUUCGAUUCCGAGUCCGGGCACCA
Molecule: transfer RNA, 104 nt
Filed under: Chania multitudinisentens RB-25
Lineage: Bacteria; Pseudomonadati; Pseudomonadota; Gammaproteobacteria; Enterobacterales; Yersiniaceae
Description: tRNA-Phe (GAA) (tRNA-Phe-GAA-3-1)
Source: RNAcentral